RNAcentral lists this ribosomal RNA (253 nucleotides) under uncultured bacterium. RNAcentral describes it as "partial 16S ribosomal RNA". It matches the Rfam family "Bacterial small subunit ribosomal RNA", at positions 524 to 776 of the family's 1533-position model. The record is from RNAcentral.
UACGUAGGUGGCAAGCGUUGUCCGGAAUUAUUGGGCGUAAAGCGCGCGCAGGCGGUUCCUUAAGUCUGAUGUGAAAGCCCACGGCUCAACCGUGGAGGGUCAUUGGAAACUGGGGAACUUGAGUGCAGGAGAGAAGUGUGGAAUUCCACGUGUAGCGGUGAAAUGCGUAGAGAUGUGGAGGAACACCAGUGGCGAAGGCGACUCUUUGGCCUGUAACUGACGCUGAGGCGCGAAAGCGUGGGGAGCAAACAGG